Molecule: ribosomal RNA, 442 nt
Filed under: uncultured bacterium
Lineage: Bacteria
Description: partial 16S ribosomal RNA
Rfam family: Bacterial small subunit ribosomal RNA
Source: RNAcentral
CCUAGGGUGGCAGCAGUGGGGAAUAUUGGGCAAUGGGCGCAAGCCUGACCCAGCAACGCCGCGUGAAGGAAGAAGGCUUUCGGGUUGUAAACUUCUUUUCUCAGGGACGAAGCAAGUGACGGUACCUGAGGAAUAAGCCACGGCUAACUACGUGCCAGCAGCCGCGGUAAUACGUAGGUGGCAAGCGUUAUCCGGAUGUACUGGGUGUAAAGGGCGUGUAGGCGGGACUGCAAGUCAGAUGUGAAAACCACGGGCUCAACCUGUGGCCUGCAUUUGAAACUGUAGUUCUUGAGUACUGGAGAGGCAGACGGAAUUCCUAGUGUAGCGGUGAAAUGCGUAGAUAUUAGGAGGAACACCAGUGGCGAAGGCGGUCUGCUGGACAGCAACUGACGCUGAGGCGCGAAAGCGUGGGGAGCAAACAGGAUUAGAUACCCUUGUAGUC